RNAcentral lists this non-coding RNA (29 nucleotides) under Rattus norvegicus (Norway rat). The record is from RNAcentral. Lineage: Eukaryota; Metazoa; Chordata; Mammalia; Rodentia; Muridae.
UAUAUGUGUUGGCAACUUUAAAGAUGAGU